RNAcentral lists this ribosomal RNA (1410 nucleotides) under Triticum aestivum (bread wheat). Its description in RNAcentral is "partial small subunit ribosomal RNA". The record is from RNAcentral. Lineage: Eukaryota; Viridiplantae; Streptophyta; Magnoliopsida; Poales; Poaceae.
AUGCGCCCGCGGGUGGAAAAAAUCACCGUGGAGUGUGAUCACCAUUCACCAAUAGAGAUGCUCACUGGAACCUUCCAUGAAAAAAUCCAUAUAUAUCAUUCUUUGUCUGCCCCAAGAAUCAAUCACCGCAACUGUCUGUCUUGCGCGUCAGCUGCGCCGUCAGGGAAAUGGACGUGGAAGCAGCAGAGUCCUUGCGUGCGCAUCGACAUCGUAGGUACACAUGCAUUGAUUAUUCGAUGUAUGGUAAUUUUCCUUUUUGCAAAAGCUGAAAGGCACAUGAUGUUGGUUGGUGUCUCAGUAGUUCGAAAAACCAGGAAAGUCAAGAAACACUUAGAUUGGGGAGUUAAAAUGUUUGAGCUGAUUGCAAAUGAGUUCUUCAGAGUUGUGCAUGGCUGGCGGGUGGGGGUGAACAGGAUCACGGCGACGCGAGGGAUGAACCUUCUUUGUCUAGAUUCUGUCUACUGCAAUGCCUCCUCUGAAGUCUUCUUUUGUUGCUUCUGCAUAACGCAUGCGAAUGUUGGAGUUGAUGGUAAGUUCACAUGUGAGACCAACAACAGAAUAAACAAAUGCACUUCUGUCCACAUGCGGAUUAGAAACCUUCCAAAAGACUUAAGUAAACAAAUGAACCGCGUGGCUAUCUCAUGGGUCGGUGUUGUCCAUGGCGACGGCGGCGGCACCGGCGAUAAUGGCGGUCAACGGCGCAGUGGGCCGGCGCUGUGGUGGACUUCCCGGUGGAUCCGGUGGUCAGAUGUGAUACGCGCCUUGCCGCCGGAUCUCGAUGGAGGGGGCGAGGUGGGUAGCAGACGGGACGAGGUGGCACCGGAGUCUUCUGUGGCGGCGCUCGUUCAGGGUUGUCAAGAUGGUGGAGCGAUGCGGGUCAGGAUGUGUACCAAUCCUACAGAGUGUGCACCAUGCACCAAUAGGAUGGGGGCUCUUGAGAAGUCAAUUAGAGGGUUUGCGGACAAGAGCGAUAAGGAAGUUGUGAAGCCAGGGUUAGGAACAAAUUUUGACUCGUUGACGGAGGUGUAUGACUUCUACAACCUAUAUUCCUGGGAACAUGGUUUUGAAAUCCGAUACGGGGAAAGCAGGCUGAACCCAGAGAAAAAGGAAGACCAUGCAGGAAAUUGUGUGUGCAGAUGCUCGGGGAAGCUAUUGAAAUCUUCUCAGGCAAAUACUGUAAUAGCCACCAAUGGUUUGAUGACAUUGCUUAUUGCAAGACUUGACCAUCGAAAAGUUAUUGCUUGUUUGACUCUGCUGAAACUAAUAAAGGUUGGGACUUUACCGAAGUGCACCACGUCCACCAAAACCAACACCGACAUGUGUAGCAAACUCGAUCUAUCUUGUGUACUCGUCAGCUAUUUCACUACAUCCAGUGGGAUCAUGGGUGUAGUUGAGGAUAUUGAGAUGUGA